This 249-nucleotide ribosomal RNA is filed under the name uncultured Actinomycetales bacterium. RNAcentral's name for it is "partial 16S ribosomal RNA". It matches the Rfam family "Bacterial small subunit ribosomal RNA", at positions 84 to 334 of the family's 1533-position model. Lineage: Bacteria; Bacillati; Actinomycetota; Actinomycetes; Actinomycetales. The record is from RNAcentral.
GGGGUGCUCGAGUGGCGAACGGGUGAGUAAUACGUGAGUAACCUACCCUUGACUUUGGGAUAACUUCAGGAAACUGGGGCUAAUACCGGAUAGGAGCUCCUGCUGCAUGGUGGGGGUUGGAAAGUUUCGGCGGUUGGGGAUGGACUCGCGGCUUAUCAGCUUGUUGGUGGGGUAGUGGCUCACCAAGGCUUUGACGGGUAGCCGGCCUGAGAGGGUGACCGGCCACAUUGGGACUGAGAUACGGCCCAG